Molecule: long non-coding RNA, 952 nt
Filed under: Zea mays
Lineage: Eukaryota; Viridiplantae; Streptophyta; Magnoliopsida; Poales; Poaceae
Description: long non-coding RNA (ZMAY_LNC000185)
Source: RNAcentral
CCCACGUAGACAAUCUACGUGCUGUGAGUUAUUCGUUGCCUCACUUUAUUUACUGUUUAAUUUUGUGCAAUCUGCUAGUAUUAAAUACUUGGGUGUGAUUGCACUGUUGUGGGCGGAUUUGUGUGCUCGAUGAUGAUAGCGGUGUAGUGAGACAACGUGACAGUCUGGGUUUUAGUGUAUUAUCAUUUUCAGCAUUGAUAUUAUUUUUGCCUAAUUAAAUCUCUCUUUGUUAAGGCUGUUUACCUGUGUUAAAUUUUGUUAAUUUAUUAAGUAAACAACUCCUUUCUAUCAGUAUUUAUAUUUGAUUAUUAGGCUUAUUACAUCUGAUCUAAAACCCUUAUUUGGUAAGAUAGGACUGUCACGUUAGUCGAGGAUCUCUGAUCACCUAUUAGCGUUGGAGGGCUGUUUAUUACAGCAACCCGCUAUUUUGAGAGCAAUAUUUUAAGAUAAACAAUUAUGUUUAUUUGUUUAAUCUGCCUUCUUCAUCUGCAAGCCAUGUUUAAUUUCCAAAUGGACCUGUGUAGCUAUUUUACAUGUUUACAUGUCUUAGAAUUGCUACUGUUCAUUGCUGCUAUAAUUACAUAUGGCAUUUGUCUGAGUUAUAUGCUUGUUUUAUUCGGAAUUAGAAUAUUUAAUUUAUUUAAAUAUGAAGGAAACAUGUCACUUAUUUCUCUAAUACUACAACAGAUCAUGACAAAGGAUGAAACUAUCACGAAGCUAUGUGCAGAGGAGCUUCGGCAUGACAACAGAAAGGGGAAACCGACUUAAAAAUGAAAAGCCAAAUCAGCCCCCGAAGAAUUACUAUAAGGUUAUUGAUAAAAUUAAAGGGCAUUAAUGUAAUUUUACAUGGGCUGCGUCCCGUGCCUAUAAAUAGAUGAACAGUAGUCAUGUACUGUUCACGCUGAUCUGGCAUUGGCAUCUCGCUUGUACCCUUACUUUCCUUCAAGCCGAA